This is a small nuclear RNA of Onychomys torridus (southern grasshopper mouse), 103 nucleotides long. NCBI's taxonomy places the organism in Eukaryota, Metazoa, Chordata, Mammalia, Rodentia, Cricetidae. The record is from RefSeq and is a predicted model, not a curated record.
UGCUCACUUCAACAGCACAAUACUAAAGUUGGAUGAUACAGUGAAGAUAGCAUGGCCCCUGCACAAGGAUGACAUGCAAAUUCAUGAAGACUUCCUUAUUUAA